Molecule: long non-coding RNA, 202 nt
Filed under: Mytilus galloprovincialis (Mediterranean mussel)
Lineage: Eukaryota; Metazoa; Mollusca; Bivalvia; Mytilida; Mytilidae
Source: RNAcentral
GAAAAGUGACAUUUUUCGACAUAUUUGGUAGAUUUUUCAUAUUUGAGCUUGAAUCGGAUCGUUUUUAGUGACUAAAUCAGUGAAAAUCUUUCACAUAACCUAAUUGAUUCAAAUGAAAUAGACACUUAAGUGUUUAAAAAGUGGUCAAAAUCUUUCGUCAGAUGAACCUGAAAUUUGAGGCCAAAAUCGGUCCUUACCGGAC